AGUAAGUAAAAGUUCAUCAGAUGAAGAAUAGAAGGUGUUUUCUAGGUGGAUGGAGGAAGAGAUAUUUACAAAGCCAGGAGGUGUGAGGGAACCUCACAUUCAGGGGAAAUGCAAGAAUAUAUGGAGGACAAGAAGAUGGAAAGAGAGGGCAGUCAGAAAAAUCAGCAAGACAGAGAAAUAACCAAGAGAAAUGAGCAAAGCCCGACUGUUGUUCCUACUUUGGCCAUUGGAGCUCUUUCCAGUUAGCUUCUCUUCCUUGGACAGCUUCCAUACGUUUUUGAGCACUUCCUUAUUUCUGACACCAGAAGAUGACUCAGGCUUGACUUGUAUUCUCCCCGUCCAACAAUGGAAUCUGCCAUUUCUCCAAGGAGCCCUGAUUCCUUUUAUUUGAGCGUGCAAUCAACACAGAAGACCUCUGUGACCAAAUGUGUGAGGACUUCUCCCCACCAAUAAGCAGGCAAGCCAUCAUCUCUACAGCAGCCACCAGCUGGGUGUCCUCCAACUCAAUUCUGACACUGUCUACCUGGAGAGAGAGUCAGAUCCCACAGGCAUCCUGGGAAUUCAAUAUUUUCUCCAAACUUUCUGAAGAUACUGAAUAUGCUUCUUGUCUCAGUGUCUUCUUCUCAGUUC
Molecule: long non-coding RNA, 630 nt
Filed under: Homo sapiens (human)
Lineage: Eukaryota; Metazoa; Chordata; Mammalia; Primates; Hominidae
Description: novel transcript
Source: RNAcentral